RNAcentral lists this non-coding RNA (22 nucleotides) under Arabidopsis thaliana (thale cress). Lineage: Eukaryota; Viridiplantae; Streptophyta; Magnoliopsida; Brassicales; Brassicaceae. The record is from RNAcentral.
CAAGGAUACCAUGGGAUUGCCU